This 722-nucleotide long non-coding RNA is filed under the name Phoenix dactylifera (date palm). RNAcentral's name for it is "long non-coding RNA (PDAC_LNC004921)". The record is from RNAcentral. Lineage: Eukaryota; Viridiplantae; Streptophyta; Magnoliopsida; Arecales; Arecaceae.
ACUAAACAUGUUUCCAGUUCUAUAAUCCAAAAUUGUGAUCGCACAUUUAUAUCCAUCUACCACUUGUGUUGGCUAAUUUUAGAGCCAUCUGGAUCUUUGAUUUGAAAGAAGGCCAUUACAUAUCUUAUUAGACAUUCAGAAGUUACUGAUUAAUUACAUAAUUUAUUGGCAUGUAAAGCCUGAGCAUAUGAGGUUGUAGCUGGCUACGUACUAUAAUAAUACAAACCGACGUCCAAACAUAUAUUCCACACCCUCUAGCUAUUAAAAUAUCACAUAGAGAUCAAUUAAUUAUUUGUCCCCGCCUCCAUUCCCUUCGUUAUUUCCAUCAACUCCUGCUGGAGGAUUAUUGUAAUCAGGUCUAGGUAUGCUAUGAUGGUUAUCAAUCGUGAUCCCUGAGGACCCAAGAGUGCUUUUUGCCUUGGCAAUAUCUUCUCCAUAGGUUUGAUCCAUAAGGGCCAUGUCACGCAUGGUUGAAGUUUUGGUCAUCAUGGUCAUAUGAAGAAGAAGAAGAAGAGCUAUUAACUUCAUCUUUGAUUUCGAUCGGUUGCUGUUUGACGUUGUCAAUACAUACAAUUUAGCAACAAUAAACAUGUAAAUCAGUUCUAUAUAGGAGUAUAGUCAACAGUAACCAAUCAAAGAUGAAGAAAAAGAUAAAUAUAUAAGAAUUACACACCUAGAAAACGCUUUGCAGAUUUGAGGGUCGAUUUAUGCUAGAAAUUAAG